RNAcentral lists this ribosomal RNA (467 nucleotides) under uncultured bacterium. RNAcentral's name for it is "partial 16S ribosomal RNA". It matches the Rfam family "Bacterial small subunit ribosomal RNA", at positions 28 to 506 of the family's 1533-position model. The record is from RNAcentral.
GACGAACGCUGGCGGCGUGCUUAACACAUGCAAGUCGAACGGAAAGGCCCUGCUUUUGUGGGGUGCUCGAGUGGCGAACGGGUGAGUAACACGUGAGUAACCUGCCCUUGACUUUGGGAUAACUUCAGGAAACUGGGGCUAAUACCGGAUAGGAGCUCCUGCUGCAUGGUGGGGGUUGGAAAGUUUCGGCGGUUGGGGAUGGACUCGCGGCUUAUCAGCUUGUUGGUGGGGUAGUGGAUUACCAAGGCUUUGACGGGUAGCCGGCCUGAGAGGGUGACCGGCAACAUUGGGACAGGGAUACGACCCAGACUCCUACGGGAGGAAACAGUGGGGAAUAUUGCACAAUGGGCGGAAGCCUGGAGCAGCAACGCCGCGUGCGGGAUGACGGCCUUCGGGUUGUAAAACGCUUUCGCCUGUGACGAAGCGUGAGUGACGGUAAUGGGUAAAGAAGCACCGGCUAAUUAGGU